Molecule: long non-coding RNA, 654 nt
Organism: Echinops telfairi (small Madagascar hedgehog)
Lineage: Eukaryota; Metazoa; Chordata; Mammalia; Afrosoricida; Tenrecidae
Exons: 2
Source: RefSeq, a predicted model, not a curated record
GUACGGUGUCUAAGAGACUAUGGAGAAUUUGAAGUUGAUGAUGGUACCUCUGUGAUACUAAGAAAAAACAGCCAGCAUUUUUUACCUCGCUGGAAGUGUGAACAGUUAAUCAGACAAGGAAUUCUGGAACAUGUGCUAUCCUAGCUUCACAUUAAGACGGAGUCCAGCUGUUGGAGACAUCUGCACAUAUCUGUCUACCUGAAUCUCCACUGUUUAAUUGUUAAACUUAUAGGCAUUCUUUAUGUAAAGCCAGAAUUACUUUGCUACAUAGUUUUAGUGCUCAUUUCUAAGGCUUUAUUAGAAUCCUAAGAAUUCUUCUCAUCCUUGUAGUAUUCUCUAUCCAUAUAUAUAUAACAUUUCUAUAUUAGUGCUUUAAAAAAACAAACCAGCAAACCGUAAUUACCUUUGAGUCUUUUUUCUCUUUUCCCCCCAAAUACAGUUGCAUCUGGCUGUACAAGAAGAAGGUAGAACCUCAUGAGUCUUAUAUUUUGGCAGGAAUGCUGUGGCAUCAUGAUCAGGUUUAAGCCAAGGAGCCCAAGGUUCUUGAAUAUUUAUUAAUGUGUAACCACAAUUGUUUAUCAUCUGAUUUGCGAAGGCAGACAGUAAUGGCUAGCCUGGCACAUGAGUUGUUAAUAAACAUUCCUCCAAUCCUGG